AUGACUAAAGAUAAUCUGGUAAAAAGAGGUAUUACUAAACCACCUGAAUGUAUGUUUUGCAAAGAACAGGAAUCCAUAGAUCACCUGUUCUUUGGUUGUGUGGUUGCUAAACAGAUUUGGAUUGAAAUAUCUAAAAUCCUUUCUCAUGAUGUAGGCAGUGACUACAUAUCUGUUGCUAGAUUUUGGCCAGCCCAUAAGAAUAAGCUGAUCUUGAACUCUGUUUGUGCCUAUGUUAUGUGGUGCAUCUGGAAGUUCAGAAAUUCCAUGGUUUUCAAUAAUGUGAUGUGGACUGACCUUAAACAGAUUUGGUGGCAGAUCCAUCUGACUCUCAAGAAGUGGAUGAUCUUGUUCAAAGAAACUCCCUUAGAAGAGUUGAAGCUGGUUUCACAGAAAGUGGCAAUGACCCUCACCUCCCCUUUCCUGCUGACUAUGGGGUGA
This 438-nucleotide ribosomal RNA is filed under the name Triticum aestivum (bread wheat). RNAcentral's name for it is "partial small subunit ribosomal RNA". The record is from RNAcentral. Lineage: Eukaryota; Viridiplantae; Streptophyta; Magnoliopsida; Poales; Poaceae.